UACGAAGGGGGCUAGCGUUGCUCGGAAUUACUGGGCGUAAAGGGAGCGUAGGCGGAUAGUUUAGUCAGAGGUGAAAGCCCAGGGCUCAACCUUGGAGUUGCCUUUGAUACUGGCUAUCUUGAGUACGGAAGAGGUAUGUGGAACUCCGAGUGUAGAGGUGAAAUUCGUAGAUAUUCGGAAGAACACCAGUGGCGAAGGCGACAUACUGGUCCGUUACUGACGCUGAGGCUCGAAAGCGUGGGGAGCAAACAGG
RNAcentral lists this ribosomal RNA (253 nucleotides) under uncultured bacterium. Its description in RNAcentral is "partial 16S ribosomal RNA". It matches the Rfam family "Bacterial small subunit ribosomal RNA", at positions 524 to 776 of the family's 1533-position model. The record is from RNAcentral.